GGCGGAGUGGUCUAACGGUAGGACGCCAGAUUUUCAAUCUGGAUAGCGCGGGUUCGAUUCCCGUCUCCGUCACCA
This 75-nucleotide transfer RNA is filed under the name Gemmatimonadales bacterium. Its description in RNAcentral is "tRNA-Glu". It matches the Rfam family "tRNA". Rfam says of the family: Transfer RNA (tRNA) molecules are approximately 80 nucleotides in length. Their secondary structure includes four short double-helical elements and three loops (D, anti-codon, and T loops). The record is from RNAcentral. Lineage: Bacteria; Pseudomonadati; Gemmatimonadota; Gemmatimonadia; Gemmatimonadales.